RNAcentral lists this ribosomal RNA (942 nucleotides) under uncultured bacterium. Its description in RNAcentral is "bacterial SSU rRNA". It matches the Rfam family "Bacterial small subunit ribosomal RNA", at positions 8 to 916 of the family's 1533-position model. The record is from RNAcentral.
AGAGUUUGAUCAUGGCUCAGGACGAACGCUGGCGGCGUGCUUAACACAUGCAAGUCGAACGGAGAUUAAGGAAUUAGUUUACUAAUACUUUAAUCUUAGUGGCGGACGGGUGAGUAACGCGUGGGUAACCUACCCUUAAAACCGGGACAACAGCUGGAAACGGCUGCUAAUACCGGAUAAUCUUCUAGUUCGGCAUCGAACUAGGAGGAAAGGUGGCCUCUGAAUAUGCUACCGAUUAAGGAUGGACCCGCGUCUGAUUAGCUAGUUGGUAGGGUAGAGGCCUACCAAGGCGACGAUCAGUAGCCGGCCUGAGAGGGUGACCGGCCACACUGGGACUGAGACACGGCCCAGACUCCUACGGGAGGCAGCAGUGGGGAAUCUUCCGCAAUGGGCGCAAGCCUGACGGAGCAACGCCGCGUGAAUGAAGAAGGCCUUCGGGUCGUAAAGUUCUGUUGAAAGGGAAGAAGUCUGUGUGUGUGAAUAAUGCAUACAGGUGACGGUACCUUUUGAGGAAGCUCCGGCUAACUACGUGCCAGCAGCCGCGGUAAUACGUAGGGAGCGAGCGUUGUCCGGAAUUACUGGGCGUAAAGGGCGCGUAGGCGGGAUAUUAAGUCAGGUGUGAAAACGUAGGGCUUAACUUUACGAUUGCACAUGAAACUAAUAUUCUUGAGGACAGGAGAGGAAAGCGGAAUUCCUAGUGUAGCGGUGAAAUGCGUAGAUAUUAGGAGGAACACCAGUGGCGAAGGCGGCUUUCUGGACUGUAACUGACGCUGAGGCGCGAAAGCGUGGGUAGCGAACGGGAUUAGAUACCCCGGUAGUCCACGCCGUAAACGAUGGGUACUAGGUGUAGGAGGUAUCGACCCCUUCUGUGCCGUAGUUAACACAAUAAGCACCCCGCCUGGGGGAGUACGGCCGCAAGGUUGAAACUCAAUGAAUUGACGG